RNAcentral lists this long non-coding RNA (332 nucleotides) under Homo sapiens (human). RNAcentral's name for it is "HSALNT0183750". Lineage: Eukaryota; Metazoa; Chordata; Mammalia; Primates; Hominidae. The record is from RNAcentral.
UUGUGACCCCUUCUUAUAAAGAAUACAUCAGAUAACAUUUGCAAGUGCUUAGCUCACUUGCUGUUGGACCCAGGGGCUGAUAAUGCAAGUCUCUAGGACUCGGGGCAUCUGUUUUCCUUCUCUCCCCCAACAGAUGCAGGUGACCACCUGGCUGGCCCUGAGAGCUACUUGCAGGCUGCCAGCAGCACACCAUUGUCACCCCACGUCGCCCCUGUGAGCAGGAGCAUCAGGUCGGCAGUGUUGCUCCUCAGUGGAUGCACCGUGACCAGAACGAGGUCGCUGGAUCGGAUGAACUGAGCCUACUACCCCAGCUCCUGCCGCAACCCCAGACC